Molecule: long non-coding RNA, 1238 nt
Filed under: Homo sapiens (human)
Lineage: Eukaryota; Metazoa; Chordata; Mammalia; Primates; Hominidae
Description: HSALNT0390973
Source: RNAcentral
AAAAAAAAAAAGGAUUAGAAAAUUUAUACUGCUUUAAAUACCCAGUGAGUAUAGUAUAUGAUUGCUGGAAAAGUCGUUCAUCCUGACCAAGAACAAUACAAUAACAACAAAACCAUUACCUGGAAAAACCAACUAGAAAUUCAGUGAGAACAUUUUAGCUUUUUCCUUUUAAAUUUUUAAAAUUCUGACAUUGCCUGGUUACAUUGAAACAGCCCUGUUGUGUCAUCCUACUUUCUUUUUCCUGGUAUUUUCCUCUUUGGGACUUUGGUUUCAUUAAUCUCAAUUUGUUCUGAAGGCACUAAGGCAGAUUUUCAAAGAGCUGUAAUUGUCACAGGGAGAGCACAAUGACUUAUUGAAGUUUCACAUGUUGCUCUUUUUGGAACUACCAGAGAUUGGAACCAAUUCUCCAUCCACAUCUCUAUCCGAGAGUUAAGUUUUCUCUUCUCUGGUGCUUGUCAAAAGUAUUUCUCCCAGCUAAUCUCAUUCCCAGUUGCCAAAGAAAAGAUCUCAAGCAUAACUCCUCAUCUCCAGGUCACCCGACAAGAUCUUGCAGUUCUACUUCUAAGUAUGUAAUCCAGAGAAAAUUCUGACUUGUGUAUAAAAGAAGACUCAUUCAAUAAUGUUUAUUUCAAAUGAACAAAAAAGCAGCUGAAAAAAAUCAUGAUAUAUUCAUUGUAUAGCAGUAAGAAUGAAUGAAGUAAACCUGUAUGUAGUAACAUAGGAAGAAAAAAGACGAAUCAACAUCUCCCUUGGAAAAUACUCUAGACCAAAUUUCUGCUUCUGUGGGCCUGGUUUCUACAAUCUUGUUUGGCUACAAUUCAUGUUGACUUUACGUAAGGAUUGCCAAUUCAUGCCCAAACUUAGUGAAGCAAGCUCACUUGAUAAAGAAAUGAAUUUCAGGAUUUAACUAUGUAACACCAUCAUUCUUUUUUCCCCCCCAUCAAGUAGUAUAUCUGCCAGGGUUUGUGUGUGUCAUACUGUCCUGGACUCUGUAUAGCAAAGAUUUAAUGACCAUGGACCUUACCUUUGUUCUAAAAAAAAAAUCUUUGACUCCACCAUUUUUAUAAUAAACACUUGCAAACUCACACCUUCUCUUGCUAACUGAGCAGGAGAAUAGUUGCUUGUUUCUUUCUCUAUAUAAAAGACAAAUGUCUUUAUCUUGUGGAAAAUCCAGUGUCACCUUUCAUAGAUACUAAAAUAUUUCCUUUCUUCAUUUCUAAUGAGACUUCCUGUUUGGU